RNAcentral lists this ribosomal RNA (1245 nucleotides) under Niphargus elegans. RNAcentral describes it as "eukaryotic LSU rRNA". It matches the Rfam family "Eukaryotic large subunit ribosomal RNA", at positions 1357 to 2213 of the family's 3401-position model. The record is from RNAcentral. Lineage: Eukaryota; Metazoa; Arthropoda; Malacostraca; Amphipoda; Niphargidae.
AAGGCUUCAGUACGACUCAGUCAGAACUAUAAGUCUCAAAGCCCCGACGAGUAGGGUGGCGUGCCGGUGCGCGUUGAAGGCCAAGACGUGAGUCAGGCUGGAGCCGCCGGUAGUGCAGAUCUUGGUGGUAGUAGCAAGUACUCUGGUGAACCAACCUGGAGCUGUGAGGUCUGGAUCAGGGUUCCAUGUCAACAGUGAUUGAACAUGGGUGAGUCGAUCCUAAGCCAACUGUGAAAGCAGUGACAUCCCGACAAUGGAGCAUACGUGCGCCGCACUUACACCCCCAUACCAAAGCUCUCGAGUAACUCCUUGCGUAUGGACUGGAACAAAAAGGUUACGCUCAUUAGCGUUGUGGUACUCUGUCAGGCUGUGGUGAACUUUUCGAGGAGGAAAGAGAGUGGGUGAGCGUGAGUUGCUUUCGCAUGGUUCCUGCGUCUGGUUUUAUGUCUGGCGAAAGGGAAUGGGGACUUUGUUCCUUGACCGGUCCCGGCACCCUCGAUUGGCUCUGCCAAUUAAUGGUCCAUGCAAAUGGAACCAGGCCACAGCCGCCGGCAGUCGCCCGAGGAAGAGUUUUCUUUUCUGCUUAACGCACGAGGUCAUCCCUGGAAACAGUUCGGCUGGCGAAAGGGUGCCCCGUUGCGGCAGAGCGCCACGACUGUCGUGUGCGUCUCGGUGUUCCUGCCGGUCCGUGAAGACGUGGUCGAGGGGAUUGCUCUUGUAUCAACGAAACGCCCGACAAGUUCGGGACGGACCGUACCCUAUAUCCGCAUCUGGUCUCCAAGGUUCGUAGCCUCUGCAGAGUCAGACACAUGUAGGUAAGGGAAGUCGGCAAACUCGAUCCGUAACUUCGGGAAAAGGAUUGGCUCUGAGGGCCGAGCUGGGCCGGGCCUUGCCUGCAAAGCAGUACCUAUAGUGACCGGAGUUUUAGGAGUGCGAGGGGCUCUAGUAGCUGCUUGUGCGUGUGUGCGUUCGCGCGUGCGCGCGUGUGGGCACGAACGAGUCCACCGCUCCGCUCCAACCACGAACGGCUGUGACGGCAAGGGCUCUGGGCGGGAGCGAUCAAACCGUUGGCCUCCAGCUCGUCUGGCUGGCGGCGGUGCUCCGUCUGACCCAUACGGCUCCAGCGGCUAGCGGCUAACUCAGAACUGUCAUGGACCAAGGGAAUCCGACUGUCUAAUUAAAACAAAGCGUCGUGACGGCCCCUGUUGGGUGUUGACGCGACGUGAUUUCUGCCCAGUGCUCUAA